Molecule: small RNA, 41 nt
Filed under: Arabidopsis thaliana (thale cress)
Lineage: Eukaryota; Viridiplantae; Streptophyta; Magnoliopsida; Brassicales; Brassicaceae
Description: ATSL262260
Source: RNAcentral
AGAUUUUUAUUUUGGUUUUAGAUUUUAUAAGACGAGAAAUC